RNAcentral lists this ribosomal RNA (464 nucleotides) under uncultured bacterium. RNAcentral describes it as "partial 16S ribosomal RNA". It matches the Rfam family "Bacterial small subunit ribosomal RNA", at positions 28 to 507 of the family's 1533-position model. The record is from RNAcentral.
GACGAACGCUGGCGGCGUGCUUAACACAUGCAAGUCGAACGGUAAGGCCCCAGCUUGCUGGGGUACACGAGUGGCGAACGGGUGAGUAACACGUGGGUGACCUGCCCCGCACUUCGGGAUAAGCCUGGGAAACUGGGUCUAAUACCGGAUAGGACCGCACCGUGAGGGUGUGGUGGAACGUUUUUCAGUGUGGGAUGGGCCCGCGGCCUAUCAGCUUGUUGGUGGGGUAAUGGCCUACCAAGGCGGCGACGGGUAGCCGGCCUGAGAGGGUGGACGGCCACAUUGGGACUGAGACACGGCCCAGACUCCUACGGGAGGCAGCAGUGGGGAAUAUUGCACAAUGGGCGGAAGCCUGAUGCAGCGACGCCGCGUGGGGGAUGACGGCCUUCGGGUUGUAAACUCCUUUCACCAUCGACGAAGGUUUUCUGACGGUAGAUGGAGAAGAAGCACCGGCUAACUACGUG